RNAcentral lists this ribosomal RNA (434 nucleotides) under uncultured Oscillospiraceae bacterium. Its description in RNAcentral is "bacterial SSU rRNA". It matches the Rfam family "Bacterial small subunit ribosomal RNA", at positions 341 to 792 of the family's 1533-position model. Lineage: Bacteria; Bacillati; Bacillota; Clostridia; Eubacteriales; Oscillospiraceae. The record is from RNAcentral.
ACGGAAGGCAGCAGUGGGGAAUAUUGGGCAAUGGGCGCAAGCCUGACCCAGCAAUGCCGCGUGAAGGAAGAAGGCUUUCGGGUUGUAAACUUCUUUUAAGAGGGACGAUAGUGACGGUACCUCUUGAAUAAGCUCCGGCUAACUACGUGCCAGCAGCCGCGGUAAUACGUAGGGAGCAAGCGUUAUCCGGAUUUACCGGGUGUAAAGGGCGUGUAGGCGGGACUGCAAGUCAGAUGUGAAAGCACGAGGCUCAACUUCGUAGCUGCAUUUGAAACUGUAGUGCUUGAGUGCUGGAGAGGCUAACGGAAUGCCUAGUGUAGCGGUGAAAUGCGUAGAUAUUAGGAGGAACACCAGUGGCGAAGGCGGUUAGCUGGACAGUAACUGACGCUGAGGCGCGAAAGCGUGGGUAGCAAACAGGAUUAGAUACCCUGGUA